GACGUAGGGCGCGAGCGUUGUCCGGAUUUAUUGGGCGUAAAGAGCUCGUAGGCGGCUUGUCGCGUCGACUGUGAAAACCCACGGCUUAACUGUGGGCUUGCAGUCGAUACGGGCAGGCUAGAGUUCGGUAGGGGAGACUGGAAUUCCUGGUGUAGCGGUGAAAUGCGCAGAUAUCAGGAGGAACACCGGUGGCGAAGGCGGUUCUCUGGGCAUGUCCUGACGCUGAGGAGCGAAAGUGUGGGGAGCGAACAGG
Molecule: ribosomal RNA, 253 nt
Filed under: uncultured bacterium
Lineage: Bacteria
Description: partial 16S ribosomal RNA
Rfam family: Bacterial small subunit ribosomal RNA
Source: RNAcentral